This 933-nucleotide ribosomal RNA is filed under the name uncultured bacterium. RNAcentral describes it as "bacterial SSU rRNA". It matches the Rfam family "Bacterial small subunit ribosomal RNA", at positions 10 to 917 of the family's 1533-position model. The record is from RNAcentral.
UGUUUGAUCCUGGCUCAGGACGAACGCUGGCGGCGUGCCUAAUACAUGCAAGUGGAACGCAGUUGCUUCACCGGAGCUUGCUCCACCGAAGUAACUGAGUCGCGAACGGGUGAGUAACGCGUAGGUAACCUGCCUGGUAGCGGGGGAUAACUAUUGGAAACGAUAGCUAAUACCGCAUAAUAGUGAAUAACACAUGUUAUUGAUUUGAAAGGGGCAAUUGCUCCACUACCAGAUGGACCUGCGUUGUAUUAGCUAGUUGGUAGGGUAACGGCCUACCAAGGCCUCGAUACAUAGCCGACCUGAGAGGGUGAUCGGCCACACUGGGACUGAGACACGGCCCAGACUCCUACGGGAGGCAGCAGUAGGGAAUCUUCGGCAAUGGGGGGAACCCUGACCGAGCAACGCCGCGUGAGUGAAGAAGGUUUUCGGAUCGUAAAGCUCUGUUGCAAGAGAAGAACGGCCAUAGGAGUGGAAAAUCUAUGGAGUGACGGUAACUUACCAGAAAGGGACGGCUAACUACGUGCCAGCAGCCGCGGUAAUACGUAGGUCCCGAGCGUUGUCCGGAUUUAUUGGGCGUAAAGCGAGCGCAGGCGGUUAGAUAAGUCUGAAGUAAAAGGCAGUGGCUCAACCAUUGUAUGCUUUGGAAACUGUUUAACUUGAGUGCAGAAGGGGAGAGUGGAAUUCCAUGUGUAGCGGUGAAAUGCGUAGAUAUAUGGAGGAACACCGGUGGCGAAAGCGGCUCUCUGGUCUGUAACUGACGCUGAGGCUCGAAAGCGUGGGUAGCGAACAGGAUUAGAUACCCUGGUAGUCCACGCCGUAAACGAUGAGUGCUAGGUGUUGGGUCCUUUCCGGGACUCAGUGCCGCAGCUAACGCAUUAAGCACUCCGCCUGGGGAGUACGGCCGCAAGGCUGAAACUCAAAGGAAUUGACGGA